CGGUGUUCAACUGGCGUGCCCGCGGGACGUCCUGCCGGUGAGCUCAGCCCGCGAGGGCGGCUCAACUUGAAAUCCCAUCGCGGUGCUCUUCAUUGAGUGUCGAGGUGGGCCGGCACGAUUACUUUUGAACAAAUUAGAGUGCUUAAAGCAGGCUAAAAUUUUGCCUGAAUACUGUGUAUAUGGAAUAAUGGAAUAGGACCUCGGUUCUAUUUUGUUGGUUUUCGGAACCCCGAGGUAAUGAUUAAUAGGAACGGAUGGGGGCAUUCGUAUUGCGACGUUAGAGGUGAAAUUCUUGGAUCGUCGCAAGACGGACUAAAGCGAAAGCAUUUGCCAAAAACGCUUUCAUUGAUCAAGAACGAAAGUUAGAGGUUCGAAGGCGAUCAGAUACCGCCCUAGUUCUAACCAUAAACUAUGCCAGCUAGCGAUCCGCCGACGUCCCUCUGAUGACUCGGCGGGCAGCUUCCGGGAAACCAAAGCUUUUGGGUUCCGGGGGAAGUAUGGUUGCAAAGCUGAAACUUAAAGGAAUUGACGGAAGGGCACCACCAGGAGUGGAGCCUGCGGCUUAAUUUGACUCAACACGGGAAACCUCACCAGGCCCAGACACUGGAAGGAUUGACAGAUUGAGAGCUCUUUCUUGAUUCAGUGGGUGGUGGUGCAUGGCCGUUCUUAGUCGGUGGAGCGAUUUGUCAGGUUAAUUCCGAUAACGGACGAGACUCUGACCUGAUAACUAGACGCACUUGCGGUAUCUCAAAGGUCCGCCGGCGGCUGGCUUUGCGCCCGUCGUCGCGCGCGAUUUUUACUGCCGGCGUACAAUAAAUUCUUCUUAGAGGGACAAGUGG
RNAcentral lists this ribosomal RNA (839 nucleotides) under uncultured eukaryote. RNAcentral describes it as "SSU rRNA". It matches the Rfam family "Eukaryotic small subunit ribosomal RNA", at positions 635 to 1426 of the family's 1831-position model. The record is from RNAcentral.